GAUGAACGCUGGCGGCGUGCCUAAUACAUGCAAGUCGAGCGAACAGACGAGGAGCUUUCUCCUCUGACGUUAGCGGCGGACGGGUGAGUAACACGUGGAUAACCUACCUAUAAGACUGGGAUAACUUCGGGAAACCGGAGCUAAUACCGGAUAAUAUAUUGAACCGCAUGGUUCAAUAGUGAAAGACGGUUUUGCUGUCACUUAUAGAUGGAUCCGCGCCGCAUUAGCUAGUUGGUAAGGUAACGGCUUACCAAGGCGACGAUGCGUAGCCGACCUGAGAGGGUGAUCGGCCACACUGGAACUGAGACACGGUCCAGACUCCUAUGGGAGGCAGCAGUAGGGAAUCUUCCGCAAUGGGCGAAAGCCUGACGGAGCAACGCCGCGUGAGUGAUGAAGGUCUUCGGAUCGUAAAACUCUGUUAUUAGGGAAGAACAAAUGUGUAAGUAACUAUGCACGUCUUGACGGUACCUAAUCAGAAAGCCACGGCUAACUACGUG
This 497-nucleotide ribosomal RNA is filed under the name uncultured bacterium. RNAcentral describes it as "partial 16S ribosomal RNA". It matches the Rfam family "Bacterial small subunit ribosomal RNA", at positions 28 to 507 of the family's 1533-position model. The record is from RNAcentral.